ACUCCUACGGGAGGCAGCAGUGGGGAAUAUUGCACAAUGGGCGCAAGCCUGAUGCAGCGACGCCGCGUGAGGGAUGACGGCCUUCGGGUUGUAAACCUCUUUCAGCACAGACGAAGCGCAAGUGACGGUAUGUGCAGAAGAAGGACCGGCCAACUACGUGCCAGCAGCCGCGGUAAUACGUAGGGUCCGAGCGUUGUCCGGAAUUACUGGGCGUAAAGAGCUCGUAGGUGGUUUGUCGCGUUGUUCGUGAAAACUCACAGCUUAACUGUGGGCGUGCGGGCGAUACGGGCAGACUAGAGUACUGCAGGGGAGACUGGAAUUCCUGGUGUAGCGGUGGAAUGCGCAGAUAUCAGGAGGAACACCGGUGGCGAAGGCGGGUCUCUGGGCAGUAACUGACGCUGAGGAGCGAAAGCGUGGGGAGCGAACAGGAUUAGAUACCCUGGUAGUCCACGCCGUAAACGGUGGGUACUAGGUGUGGGUUUCCUUCCUUGGGAUCCGUGCCGUAGCUAACGCAUUAAGUACCCCGCCUGGGGAGUACGGCCGCAAGGCUAAAACUCAAAGGAAUUGACGG
This 571-nucleotide ribosomal RNA is filed under the name Mycobacterium sp. Gossyppi A1. Its description in RNAcentral is "bacterial SSU rRNA". It matches the Rfam family "Bacterial small subunit ribosomal RNA", at positions 335 to 916 of the family's 1533-position model. Lineage: Bacteria; Bacillati; Actinomycetota; Actinomycetes; Mycobacteriales; Mycobacteriaceae. The record is from RNAcentral.